AGACCUCUCUUGGCCUUUUGGCUAAGAUCAAGUGUAGUAUCUGUUCUUAUCAGUUUAAUAUUUUUAUAUUCUACAUUACCCAUAAUUGUUGAGAGGACAGAAUAGAAAUUGUGUAAAACAUCUCUAUCCCUACAUUUUCAUAAAUAGGCUCUUGUAGACCUAGU
RNAcentral lists this small nuclear RNA (164 nucleotides) under Laticauda laticaudata (blue-ringed sea krait). RNAcentral describes it as "U2 spliceosomal RNA (ENSLLTG00000014636.1)". The stretch from base 1 to 132 matches the Rfam family "U2 spliceosomal RNA". Rfam says of the family: U2 is a small nuclear RNA (snRNA) component of the spliceosome (involved in pre-mRNA splicing). Complementary binding between U2 snRNA (in an area lying towards the 5' end but 3' to hairpin I) and the branchpoint sequence (BPS) of the intron results the bulging out of an unpaired adenosine, on the BPS, which initiates a nucleophilic attack at the intronic 5' splice site, thus starting the first of two transesterification reactions that mediate splicing. Lineage: Eukaryota; Metazoa; Chordata; Lepidosauria; Squamata; Elapidae. The record is from RNAcentral.